CAGUAGCCGCGGUAAAACGUAGGGGGCAAGCGUUAUCCGGAAUAACUGGGCGUAAAGGGUGCGCAGGUGGUUUAACAAGUUAGUGGUGAAAGGCAUAGGCUCAACCAAUGUAAGCCAUUAAAACUGUUUAACUUGAGUGCAGGAGAGGAAAGUGGAAUUCCUAGUGUAGCGGUGAAAUGCGUAGAUAUUAGGAAGAACACCAGUGGCGAAGGCGACUUUCUGGACGAAAACUGACGCUGAGGCGCGAAAGCCAGGGGAGCGAACGGGAUUAGAUACCCCCGUAGUCCCUGUCUCUUAUACA
RNAcentral lists this ribosomal RNA (301 nucleotides) under uncultured bacterium. RNAcentral's name for it is "partial 16S ribosomal RNA". It matches the Rfam family "Bacterial small subunit ribosomal RNA", at positions 509 to 809 of the family's 1533-position model. The record is from RNAcentral.